RNAcentral lists this unclassified non-coding RNA (211 nucleotides) under Hevea brasiliensis (rubber tree). The record is from RNAcentral. Lineage: Eukaryota; Viridiplantae; Streptophyta; Magnoliopsida; Malpighiales; Euphorbiaceae.
AAUCUAUGAUUCCCAUGGCUAAUAAAGUUGAUAAUCAUCUUUAAGGAAAGUGUUGUCACUGCUCAGCCAUAUACUUUCCGACGCCAAAUUUCCUUGUAAGACUUCAACAAUCUGCAUCCAAUAUUAAUACUUAAAUGCAUAAGUAUUAAUUAAUUAAUAAUAAUUAACUUAUAAAUAAAUUUUUUUACUUCAUGAAUAUGCUUAAACAUAC